This 468-nucleotide ribosomal RNA is filed under the name uncultured bacterium. RNAcentral describes it as "partial 16S ribosomal RNA". It matches the Rfam family "Bacterial small subunit ribosomal RNA", at positions 28 to 507 of the family's 1533-position model. The record is from RNAcentral.
GACGAACGCUGGCGGCGUGCUUAACACAUGCAAGUCGAACGGAAAGGCCCUGCUUUUGUGGGGGGCUCGAGUGGCGAACGGGUGAGUAACACGUGAGUAACCUGCCCUUGACUUUGGGAAAACUUCAGGAAACUGGGGCUAAUACCGGAUAGGAGCUCCUGCUAAAUGGUGGGGGUUGGAAAGUUUCGGCGGUUGGGGAUGGACUCGCGGCUUAUGAGCUUGUUGGUGGGGUAGUGGCUUACCAAGGCUUUGACGGGUAGCCGGCCUGAGAGCGUGACCGGCCACAUUGGGACUGCGAUACGGCCCAGACUCCUACGGUAGGCAGCAGUCGGGAGUAUUGCACAGUGGGCGCGCGCCUGAUGCAGCAACGCCGCGUGCGGGAUGACGGCCUUCGGGUUGUAAACCGCUUUCGCCUGUGACGAAGCGUGAGUGACGGUAAUGGGUAAAGAAGCACCGGCUAACUACGUG